Molecule: ribosomal RNA, 253 nt
Filed under: uncultured bacterium
Lineage: Bacteria
Description: partial 16S ribosomal RNA
Rfam family: Bacterial small subunit ribosomal RNA
Source: RNAcentral
UACAGAGGGUGCGAGCGUUAAUCGGAAUUACUGGGCGUAAAGCGUGCGUAGACGGUUUCGUAAGUCGGGUGUGAAAUCCCCGGGCUCAACCUGGGAAUUGCAUUCGAAACUGCGAGGCUAGGGUACGGAAGAGGGAAGCGGAAUUUCUGGUGUAGCGGUGAAAUGCGUAGAUAUCAGAAGGAACAUCAGUGGCGAAAGCGGCUUCCUGGUCCAGUACCGACGUUCAGGCACGAAAGCGUGGGGAUCAAACAGG